UACGGGGGGGGCAAGCGUUGUUCGGAAUUACUGGGCGUAAAGGGCUCGUAGGCGGCCAACUAAGUCAGACGUGAAAUCCCUCGGCUUAACCGGGGAACUGCAUCUGAUACUGGCGAGCUUGAGUGCAGGAGAGGAACGCGGAAUUCCAGGUGUAGCGGUGAAAUGCGUAGAUAUCUGGAGGAACACCGGUGGCGAAGGCGGCGUUCUGGACUGUAACUGACACUGAGAAACGAAAGCCAGGGUAGCAAACGGG
This 253-nucleotide ribosomal RNA is filed under the name uncultured bacterium. RNAcentral's name for it is "partial 16S ribosomal RNA". It matches the Rfam family "Bacterial small subunit ribosomal RNA", at positions 524 to 776 of the family's 1533-position model. The record is from RNAcentral.